CUUUAUAUAUAUAUAUAUAUAUAUAUAUAUAUAUAUAUGUAUGUAUAAAUUUGUUUUCUGAACAACCAAAGACCUACAUAUAUAUAUAUAUAUGUGUGUGUGUGCUUUUACCUCUUUAUAUUUCUUCAUAUAUAUGUUUAUAUACUAUAUAAUCUUUUUGCGUGAUGCUUAUGUAUAUUGUUGUAACCAAAUAAAUAAAUAAAAUAAAUAUAAGAAUAGAUUAAGAAAGUAUUUUUCCACUGGAUCAGUGUAUGUUAUCUGCUUGCCGGUUCUGGUGAGUUAAAAGGCCUUUCUUAGUCUGAUCUUGAAAGGAAGAGAUUUAGAGGAAUUCAGCAUUAAGCUUGCCAAAGCAUCCAUCUUCCCUUAUAGGGAAAGACAAAAGUGUUUAGAGAAGAUAUUUAUCCCCUGGUUGCUGUUAGUUAACAAAACUGCCAAUUCCACUGAUUUCAUGUUUACUCAUCAUUGUCUGCUCUUAGAUUCUGAGGUGGAAACUAUUGCUGCCUGACCACUCAUUGCUUAGGAUAGGAAAAUAUAUCUGCUGAUAGACCAAAAGGAGCACUUUACUGUGCUAAACUGUUUCACAUAUCAAAAAAGUGCAGAAUCCUAAGGAAUGCAAUGAUACAACAGUUGAUUUUCUUUAGAUCACAUUUUUAUUUUGAAGUGAGGUGGACCUCGCUCAAAGUACAGGUUUAUAAUCCCCAUCUGUACUUCAACUAUAUAUUUAGGUUACACUUCAAUAUUCCAACAUAUAACCAUCAACAAAGCUAUAGGCAACAAGACAUGGAGCCUAUGAGAAUAAGCAUAUACCAUCUAUAGCCCCUGGACUAUGAUACUAAAUCACCAGAAAUUAAAGAAAUAAAGGUACCAUAUCUUGACCGUCUUCAAGCUUCUAUUCCCCCAGUCUUUAUUUUAAAUAAAGAACAAUAAGUAAAGAUAAUAUUAAAAAAUGAACUGUAUUUUAUUCAAAAUAAAUAUAAAGACGCAGUGGAAUUCCUUCACUCUAAUAUUGGAGUUAGCAGAACUACAACCUCCUUUGGUCUCUGGCAAAAAGUCAAAAAACCAUUGAAACAUUCAUCAGUUACCUCCUCUUAAAAGCUAUGUGAGCAUUUUGGUGUUGCUGUCUCAUAACCUUUGUUGCAAUGGGAAUAAUUAUGUUUGCAAUGCUGGUGCUUUCCUUGGUUAGCAGCUUGAUUGUUCAACAUGCUAACUUUACCUUCAUGCUGAACAGCAAUAUUUUGUAUCAACAGUUAUUAAGUCUCAGCAGAACCCUCGUUUUCAAUGUGGAAAAGGUCACUGGCAAAUUAAUUUGGGGCAGGGGAGAGAGCUCAAUGCAUUGUACAAAACAGCAAAUGGAUCAGAGCCAUGCACAAAACAAGUGUAGAUAUACAAAGUUGUUCACCACAAAUAAUAAAUUCUGGACUGAGUAACUGACUUUAUUUAUUUAUAUAUAUAAGUUUGCCCAACUCAAGACUGGGAACUAUACAGAUUAAAAAUAGAGAUAAUGUUUCAAAACGUGUGCUAACAUUUAUGAUUCUGUUACCCCUUACAACAAUAAAGUAGUAUAGCUGGAAUCUUUUGGAAGCUGGUACCUUUUUCUAACCUUUUUAAUCACAUCUUAUCCUAAAAAAGCUCAAGAAAAGGUUAUGUUUCUUCCUUACCCUUACUUCAAUCUGUUCUAACUGCUUGUCCAUGUCCAGCUUUAGGAGGUCUUGAAUAAUUUCAUCUCUAAAUUAUUUUCUAGAAACUGACAUAGUUGAAACUGAAACAGACACUGCAUCUCAGAUGGCCAGACCUAUCCCAGAGCUUCAGGACAAAAAUCAGGUUUUCAGACAUUGUUUAAAGACCUGCAGGUUAAGGACAGUCCAAACCUCUGGCAGGAUGUUAUUCCACGUACCAUAACAGAGAGGGUAUACUUCCUAUGUCCUAUCAAAUAACAUUGUUUAAUAUAUGGGACUUAAAGUGUGCCAACUGGAUAGAAUAGAUUGGACAGUCAUUACAAGAGCCAGAAUGUCUCUCAGACAGACAUCCCCUGUAUCAUGAAGGGCUUUGUAAGUGAUAAGCAGCACCCUCAAGUUGUAUGUGAAAACUCAAUAGAAGUCAUUUCGGCUCAUAUAACAGAGUUGUUUCAUAGGCAUACUCAUAACUGCUUCUGUUGCUUUAGCAGUCCCCUAUGAAGUGCAUUGAAUAAUCAACAUAUGACGGGAUAUGAAGGGAUAUGAAGGGAUUCCCAAUCCUGGAAAGAGUGCAACUGGUACAACAGAUGGACCUGUAUAAAGAAUGUUCGGAUCAUAGAUGCCACCUGCUUUUUCAGCAGGAGUACUGGCAAAAGGAAAAUUCCCAAAUUGUGCACCAGUUUUGUUAAGGGAAUUAGUCCAUUUAGAGCCAAAUAUGGAGAAUCACCAGCAGUGGAAAAAUCAGUACCCAUAUCUAAUCAGUCUUGCCACUUUAAGCCUGAUCCUAUGCAUCUGGACCUGAAACCCUUCCAAUCAUUGGGAUAAGACUUUAAUGGUAUCACUUGGUAUACCAGAGGUCAAAAUAUACACUGUGUGUCAUCAACAUACUGAUGAUACAUGAUGCCAUGUUGAUGGAUGACCUCAGCUAGCAAUUCCAUGUAGAUGUUAAAAACAGCAGAGGCGAGAACAUAGAGGAGCUUUGGACUGGAUCUCUACCCACCUGUCAGCAGUUGGAACUGACCAUGGAGAAACAAGAUUUAUCUGUUUUAUUUAUCAACUGUAGAUACACGGAAUUGUAGAUAAGAAGGUCCAGCUGUACUGUGAAUGAAAGAAGGCUAAAUUCCAUUCCACCUGGCAUGUUGCCUUAAUACAAAUUUGCAACAGCCUUGUGGAACAGAGCUAACCCUUUUCCCUAUAUGUUUAGUGCAUUAUUAUCAUCUCUGAAAAAUUUGAUUACUAGAUUUGGGGGAAAAGAACCUCAUCUGUUCAGAUUGUAUGUCGAUAAAGGAUAAAAUCAGUUGCAAAAUAUAAUGACUAGGAAUUUAAAACAGAAUUCUACUGUAUUGUAACUAAAAUUGCUGAUCAACAAACUCUGUUCCAAACAUUCUAUUUUUUAACAAUAACCAGUAUGAAUAUCAUAUAAAUAAAAUCAUUAAGUAAUUUUUUUAAUGUUUUGUCUUCCUUUAGUAAAGACUUGAUAAAGCCUCACACUACUGAAUACUUUAGAACAGAAGCCCAGCUGUCAGGUCCAUAGUUAUUUCAUAGUGAAUAUCUUUUCUGGCUUUGAAAGCAUCAAAUUUUUGGCAUCCAUCCUUGAUCCUCUCCCCUUUACUAUGUAUGAAUUGCUUAUCAUUCCCUCACAGCUGAACAACAAAUAGCCUGGAUUGCACAAGGAUUGUCAAGUACAAUCAACAAUUUUUCCCAUCCCAACAUAGUGCCCUGCAACAAGGCAGAGUUUGAACUGGUGGGAAUCUCAAUAGUCCAGCUUUCAAUAUUCCUCAAAAAGAGAAAGAAAAAUGAAAUAUAUCUGCCUCCUAUAAAAUGUUACUUUUUUUAAAAUAGUUCUUUUCACAAGGUCCAUCCUUCCUUCGAUCGUGCUAUAUAGAAAGAUAUAAAAAGAGUUAAAUAUAAAAUCGUUUCUAAUUUAUUUAUUCAUCUAAGUUAUAUGGCCACCCAUCUCACAAGAAGUGAUUCUGGGAGGACUACCGGAAAAAAAAGGAAAGUUACUUUUACAGACCCCUCACAUCCUGGACAUAAAUGGUUUCAACUCCUACCCUCAAAACUAUGCUAUAGAGCACACCAGAACAACUAGACACAAGAACAGUUUUUCCCCAAACGCUAUCACUCUGCUAAACAAAUAAUUCCUUCAACAUUGUCAAACUAUUUACUAAGUAUGCACUACUAUUAAUCUUCUCAUUGUUCCCAUCACCCAUCUUCUUCAACUUAUGACUGUAUGACUGUAACUUGCUUGUAUCCUUACAAUGUAAAUUUAUAUUGUUUCCAGACUGCUUAUUUGUACCCUGACUAUCAUUUUGUUGUAUCUUAUGAUUCUUGAUGAACUUUACUUUUCUUUUAUGUACACUGAGAGCAUAUGCAGCAAGACAAAUUCCUUGUGUGUCCAAUCACACUUGGCCAAUAAAAAGUUCUGUUCUGUUCUAUUCUAUUCUAAAAAUGAUUAGCACAUCAAACACAGUUAUAUAUUCAAAACAGAAACACACAUCUAUGAGUUGAUCAGCAAGACAGCUACAUCAAGAUCUCAAUGUUACUAGCAUUUCUACUCCUAUUCCAGGACCACACUUUACAUUUGUUUGAAACCUCCGCUUACUUUAUUUGCUCUAAGUCACCCUUUCCCAAUUUGGCAGUCUCUAGAUGCUUAGCUCCUUGAACAUCAACCCCAGAACGAUAAAAAAAUAUCAUGCUGGUUGGGAAUUCUGUUGAGUACACACAUCUCAAUAAUAAAAAAUCUGAAAAAUGCUUUAAACUUAUUUAUAUUCAGCUGACCCUAUUCUUCAUAAAUACUUAUCCUCCAGUGAAGAAUAGGCACUGGAUUCAUACGUUUCUGCUGUGAGAGAAUUUCAACACUAUGUUGUGGAUUUUUUAAACUACAGUUUCCAGUUAAAUAAAGCGAACUGGAGUUUAAAAUUAACUCCAGUUAAACUUGUUAUCAAACUGAAAUCCAUUCACAAUUCUAUUAAAACAUAAUAUGGAACUAAAUUUGAAAGAAAUGACAAUGGAAGUUUACAAGAAGUUAGAUGAAUUAAGAACUAUUAGCUCAGGUAAGGCUAAUUAUCUGCUUAAUAUUACGACAUAUAUAGCUAGAACUCAUAUUCAAACUGUAUAAAAUCUUAGCAAAAUAAAAAAACUCAAAGUCUCUAAUAUUACUAUUAUCAACAAGUCAAUCAAUACUCAGAUUUUGGUGGCAGAAGAGCAAUAACCUGUGUCUUCAAUUUGCAUAAGAGUCAUCAAUUUCAACCAUUUUAAUACCAUCUUCAUAAAUUCAUGAUGCUCCUACAUGACAAUUCUAUACAUGUAACAGUUGAUCAGUUAAAAAAAAUUCAUUGGUACUAGGUAAGUUGUGGUCAUUUUUCAUUUUAUAGAAUAUAUGGCCACUGCUAAUAAGCUAAGUAGUCCAAUUUUUGACAGCAAGUAAACAAUGUCUCACAUUCAAAAAUGCUCAAUUCUCAUAAAUCCCUUUUGCCAGAUAAAACCUCUUUAUGAUCAGAGUUAUUUUUCCUGUUUGUGAAUAUACCCAAAGAUGUCUGCUAAAGUAAUUUAAAAAAAAACUACUUGGUUUUAUUUUCUUGUUUCUUUUUAAAGAACAAACGAACAUAUAUUUUUGUACAAGGCAAGCUAAAGGCAUGAAAAUGCAGAGAAAAUGAUGAGGAAACUAAUGUGGAAACACCAGCAAAGAUAUACUGUUAAGGUAUUAGUUUUAAAUGUAUUUCUUCUGCCUUUAUGUGGGAGGUUUUUACUACUGAAAAUGAACAGAGUAAAACUGGCAACUAUCUUCCUGCCCUCUUCCAGCAAAACCUCUAUCCCUAGUAUCAUAAGGCAUUCUCGGCAAGUCAGCUUGUCAUAAAUCAGCAGGCAGGUGCAUAUCAACAUGAGUCCAUAAAUUCCAGCCUCACUUCACUGACACAACAGAAGUCCUGCUGAUGGGGGAAAUAACUGGUCUGUAAGGAUAAGGUUCCCCUUUUCUAUUCAAGCUGGCCAGACCGUGAACAUGAAACUGUGAAAAUCACAUUGCUUUACCUGUAUCUCUAAAGAUAUCUCAGUGAUCCGAUUUUGUUGAUUGUCUAUGACCUGUUGAGGAAAAGAAGAAACUCUCACAUAAUGUCUGGAAAACAGAACUGAGAGGCUGCAAGGGAGACUAGGAAUUUAUGCUCCAACAUCAGUUGGGCUAUUGCACUGGUACAGGAGCACUGUUGGAUUUAUUGUCUGUGUAUUCAAUAAUUCUGAACAUAAUCAAUAGUUAAAGGGAUUCUGUGUUACACACAGAAACUGUCUAGAGUACACUGUGGGCAGGUAGGAAGCACUAAAAUGUAUCAUUCGGCAAAACCUCUGAAAGGGCUGCUUUUAAAGCAAAACAACACA
Ahaetulla prasina is the source of this 6047-nucleotide long non-coding RNA. RefSeq lists it as uncharacterized. The transcript has 3 exons. Lineage: Eukaryota; Metazoa; Chordata; Lepidosauria; Squamata; Colubridae. The record is from RefSeq and is a predicted model, not a curated record.